Molecule: ribosomal RNA, 273 nt
Filed under: uncultured bacterium
Lineage: Bacteria
Description: partial 16S ribosomal RNA
Rfam family: Bacterial small subunit ribosomal RNA
Source: RNAcentral
AACGUAGGAGGCGAGCGUUAUCCGGAUUUACUGGGCGUAAAGCGCGUGCAGGCGGUGGUGCGAGUUGGGCGUAAAAUCUCCUGGCUCAACUGGGAGGGGUCGUCCAAUACUGCAUCACUUGAGGGCAGGAGAGGGAAGUGGAAUUCCCGGUGUAGCGGUAAUAUGCGCAGAUAUCGGGAGGAACACCAGUGGCGAAGGCGGCUUCCUGGCCUGUCUCUGACGCUCAGACGCGAAAGCUAGGGGAGCGAACGGGAUUAGAUACCCCCGUAGUCC